CCUGCCCUUUGUACACACCGCCCGUCGCUCCUACCGAUUGAAUGGUCCGGUGAAGUGUUCGGAUCGCGGCCUGUGGGCGGUUCGCCGCCGGCGGGUUGCGAGAAGUCCACUGAACCUUAUCAUUUAGAGGAAGGAGAAGUCGUAACAAGGUUUCCGUAGGUGAACCUGCGGAAGGAUCAUUG
RNAcentral lists this ribosomal RNA (182 nucleotides) under Didymeles perrieri. Its description in RNAcentral is "partial 18S ribosomal RNA". It matches the Rfam family "Eukaryotic small subunit ribosomal RNA", at positions 1652 to 1831 of the family's 1831-position model. The record is from RNAcentral. Lineage: Eukaryota; Viridiplantae; Streptophyta; Magnoliopsida; Buxales; Buxaceae.